Molecule: ribosomal RNA, 619 nt
Filed under: uncultured Alphaproteobacteria bacterium
Lineage: Bacteria; Pseudomonadati; Pseudomonadota; Alphaproteobacteria
Description: bacterial SSU rRNA
Rfam family: Bacterial small subunit ribosomal RNA
Source: RNAcentral
AGAGUUUGAUCCUGGCUCAGAACGAACGCUGGCGGCAGGCCUAACACAUGCAAGUCGAACGCGGUCCUUCGGGGCCGAGUGGCGCACGGGUGAGUAACGCGUGGGAACCUACCUUUCGGUACGGAACAACCAAUGGAAACGUUGGCUAAUACCGUAUACGCCCUGAUUUGGGAGACCUUAUUGGGGGAAAGAUUUAUCGCCGAGGGAUGGGCCCGCGUCCGAUUAGCUAGUUGGUGGGGUAACGGCCUACCAAGGCUGCGAUCGGUAGCUGGUCUGAGAGGAUGAUCAGCCACACUGGGACUGAGACACGGCCCAGACUCCUACGGGAGGCAGCAGUGGGGAAUAUUGGACAAUGGGCGCAAGCCUGAUCCAGCCAUGCCGCGUGAGUGAAGAAGGCCCUAGGGUUGUAAAGCUCUUUCACCCGCGAAGAUAAUGACGGUAGCGGGAGAAGAAGCCCCGGCUAACUCCGUGCCAGCAGCCGCGGUAAUACGGAGGGGGCAAGCGUUGUUCGGAAUUACUGGGCGUAAAGGGCGCGUAGGCGGUCCGUUGCGUCAGGUGUGAAAGCCCCGGGCUCAACCUGGGAGGUGCACUUGAUACGGGCGGACUUGAAUCCGGGAGA